UAGUUGAGUUUAAUAAAUCUAUGGAUAUCAUGGUUGGAUGAACCUACUGAAUAUUCAAAAUUUCACAAAGAUGGUGAGAUUACAAGUGAAAACAAAGUUACUUAUUCAAAUUGCUGCUUAAAGACAAGUAUUCUCUAGGAAAAGACAAAUGGAUUUGUAAAACAAUAUUUUACAUAUUUAAAACAUGUAUUCUCUAAAACAUGCAACAUAUGCAUACCACAAUGUUGAUAAAGUUUUGUUGAGUAUUAUAUUGGGUUUAUUCUGAUUUUGGGGAAAUCUGCCCAAGCAAUGACAAUGGAUACAUAGGCUUUACAAACAACAAUAAUGUCUAGCUGUUAUUUUACAUGAGUAAAUUGUGUGAUUUAUAGCAUGGUUAAAAAUGCAGUGCUUUUCUUUUCCUCUCUUCCAUUUCCAUGCUUUGCUCAUUGUUAUGGUUCUGGUUUAUGGUUUGGACUGAUGUUCCUUUAACAGAAAACAACAUAUAUAGUUGUAAUUCAAAUGAUAGAGAAACAAAUAUAAUAAAUGAAACUCGUAAUACAUACACAUGUUUCACUUACGUAAAAUAUUUAAAAGGAAACAAUGAAAUUUCUCAAUGAAAUUUGAGGAGGCAACAAACUGAAAGAGACGGGUAUAUUUUCUAUCUCUGACAAGAUAUGUAGCUUACUCAACAUGUAUCCAAAAUAUUAUAAAAUUAUCCAUCAAAAAAAUUAUGGUAAUACUGCUAUAUGUACCACUUCAGUUGUUCGAGCAUUAGUUAUAUCUCCCUGCACCUGAAUGACACCUUCAAAAGAAAUAAUUUAUUUAAGCACCGAAAAUUGAGUUUGGAGGAUAGAGAAGAAAAAAAGAAGAAAUCACUGAAGGAGAGCUACUCAAUCCAUCAGCAUGUCUGUAAGGGAAACUCCCUUGAAAAUCCAAAGGUUUAAACCAUCAAGAAGCCAAAUGCCUAAUUUAUCCCAUGUCAGCAUUUCAUCCAAUAAAAGCUACAUAGAAGAUGAGUUAUACUCCAACCNAGUGCCCCAAACUGUAGCAUACAUUGUUACCACAACUUUAGCUUCUUUACAUCAACUAAAACAAUUUAAGCUUCCCAAAAUAUAUGAUAAGAAAACCAAGGGGUGGACACUAUAUUCACCAAAAAUGUCAAGCUAUAUGAGUUCAUAAAGAAAUAGAAUUAAAACAAUGUAAGAACAGAUGAUAUACUAAUUUCUUUCCUUUGUCUUGAUGAAAGUCAUAUUUUAUAUAAUAAAAAUAAAAAUACAGUCAUCAGUUGUACUUGAUGACUAACAAAAAUGAAAACAUUAAGUUUGAUAGAGCUUAAUUUCAAUCCUAAGUCUUUGCAUGAAUCUGCAAGUGAGAAACAAUGAAGAAAAGCUACUGCCCUGAUAUGUGUUAUGUGAGAGCAAACACUAUAGAAUUUUCAAAGAAAGCCAACUUACUUUGCAGUAGACAGAAAGUAGGCCCGUGCAUAUGUUAUUAAGGUGCUAUUCAAGUAGCAACAACUAAAUUUAAAAACAUUAAGGAAAAAUUAAAAUUAACUUAUCAAAACUCUUAAAAUAAUCUUAUAUAUUUGACUGUUGUACUACAGUAAUAUGUACACAGCAAAAAAACAUGAGUUAAAGGGGAAAACAUGAACCAAAGCAUGUAAGGGGAAUGUAAUUGGUAUUUUAGCAUUUGAGGUUGCAAACACGAUUGUCAAGGACUUUAGUCUUAUGGAGUCUCUUUCAGCAAAAAGUAUUAAACACUUAAGAGGUUCUUUCACAAUAAAUUCUUAUUAAUAAUUUCCUAAGGACCUCAACAUUAUGCUGUUAUAAUUUCCUCACAAUUCCAAAUUAAAUCAUCAAUAGUUAACAACAUCAAUAUUGCUUUCAAAUUUCUAUAAUGAACAUAUCUCACACUUCAUCAAGAAGUAAGCCAGUACAACCAAACAUUUCCAUAUAUACAAAACAAUUACUAAAAACUAAAGAGAAAAACCUUAAAUACCUUUGAGAAAGCAACGGUAAGACGGCGGAAUGAGAAAGCAAGCCAAGCCGGCGGAAGGAGACAGCACGGAGGGGGGACCCGAGACCGGCGCUGGCAGAGCCUCUGGGUCGUCGACGGUGCAAACGGGACGGGGGACAAGACGCAAAGAUGAUCGGUGGGAAGAGCCGCGAAGAUGGUCGGUGGGAAGAGCCGCGAAGAUGAUCGACGCCGGUGGCCGUUGAACGCCGAACGACGGUGGCAAGGGGGACGACUGACAUUGGAAGGGAGACUUUCUCUCACUAGGGUUUAAUUCUCACAUUCUGAAAAUAAAAUUUGAAUUUCAAAAAAUCUUUGCUUCCAUUUUCUGCCCGUGCCCUCAACUAAUCCACGUCAUUUAAAUUUUAUUUUUUUUCAAAAAGGGGAACCAAUACAAAGCUGACACAUCAUUGGUGUCAAAAAUUUGUCACCCUAGAGGAGUCAAAGUAUCAUUUUCCUACCAUAUUUCAUCUCUUUCUUUUCAAGUCUCAAUGUUUUUUAAUAGCUUUGUAUUGUAUCUGUUUACCAAUUAGCUCCUUCUGCACCAC
This 2540-nucleotide long non-coding RNA is filed under the name Vigna radiata. Its description in RNAcentral is "long non-coding RNA (VRAD_LNC012255)". The record is from RNAcentral. Lineage: Eukaryota; Viridiplantae; Streptophyta; Magnoliopsida; Fabales; Fabaceae.